UUGCUAGACCAUUUUUGUGCCUGCCUCGUU
This 30-nucleotide non-coding RNA is filed under the name Homo sapiens (human). The record is from RNAcentral. Lineage: Eukaryota; Metazoa; Chordata; Mammalia; Primates; Hominidae.